This 1134-nucleotide long non-coding RNA is filed under the name Nicotiana benthamiana. RNAcentral's name for it is "long non-coding RNA (NBEN_LNC015705)". The record is from RNAcentral. Lineage: Eukaryota; Viridiplantae; Streptophyta; Magnoliopsida; Solanales; Solanaceae.
UCACCAAUUGACGAUUAACAGAGAAAUGGAAUCGGGAAUCCACGAGAAAGGAAUUAUAAGCCUUCAACGAAAACAAAUCUCUGCUAUUCACAUUUUUAUUGUUGUCACGUGCAUAUGGAACCAAUAAUUGUCAAUUUUUCCUCAUAGAGACAUUCUCACAAACACUUCACCAACACUGCCAUGUGGACAAUGUAGAGAUUUGCCUCAAAUUAAAUUAUUUAACAAAAGAGAGUGACUAAUAAACAUAGAAUCAACCAAUUUGAAGGCAUCCAAAUGCUCAAACAGUGUAAAUAAUAAUUCAAAGCAAAUCAACCAUAAAAAUGAGAUUGGAAAAGAAAGAACCUCUGUGAAAAAACUUUUCUGUGUAUUUAUAACAGUCCUUCAAUCCAAAGCUUGGUACAGCAACAAAAUUGUUCAACUAAUUGCCAACAAUCCAAAGGAAAUUUAGAAGAACGACUGAACGGACUGUGAGUGGAUCAGAAACUGACGCCGGCGACCUCGGACGGACCUCGAAUCGGCACCGGAAUUUCGAAUCGAACACGAACUCGAAUCAAACUCGACUGAAGUCUAUCCCCAUACUCGAAUAACCAGAAAUCGAAUCCAAGUGAAGAAACAAAAUUCAAACUCCAGCGAAUCUACGGGUCAAAUGUUUCAAAUCAAAACCAUCUCUGAAAUCAAUUCUAACAGAAAGAACCAAAAAUUGUUUGUUAGUUUUCUGAAAUUAACACCUCAACUAAUUGCAAAACUAGUCCUCUACUAUCUCGUGUGUGCUUUUGAGAAUUUCCGGCGACGAAUUGCGUGUGAAUUCCGACGUAGUGAGGAGUGAGCGAGCGUGUGUGUAUAGGCCGUGAAGGAGUGAAUUGGGUGUUGUUUUCCGGCGAGGGAGCUCGUCUGGUUUGAGUGACGACGCUGGAAGUUCAAGGGUCGUUUGGGUGAGAGAGGAAACGUCGACGACGAGGGUGGGAUCGGGUGGUUUUUUUCUGUGAAUUGCCGAUUGCCUUUUUUUGUGUUUGUCUUUUUUCUCCCCAGCCCCGUUAUUUUCGUUUUUUUGUUGUGUAGAAAAUGACUAUAUAGAGGGUUAUGGGUAGAGUGUUACGUGGGGUAGUUUUAUUAGGGGAGAAUGAGUUAUGUAAG